RNAcentral lists this long non-coding RNA (272 nucleotides) under Sorghum bicolor (sorghum). RNAcentral describes it as "long non-coding RNA (SBIC_LNC011680)". Lineage: Eukaryota; Viridiplantae; Streptophyta; Magnoliopsida; Poales; Poaceae. The record is from RNAcentral.
CACCUGGGAUCUCGCCAACACCUCCAGAUGGUGGCUCUCCUGCGGUACGCGGCCUAGGUGUCCCUCAUAUCAAUUGGGAGCCUUCACAGUGAUGCACUUAUUUGGUUUAAACAUGUGAACUUUGUGGAUUGUGUAUUGAACAUGUUGGACUUAGUUUGGAUGUAUGUGAACUGAGUUUGGAGUAUUUGAACUUGUUAUGAUGGACAAAGUGAUGGAAAUGAUAAUUUAUGUGGAUUAUGUGGUAUAUAUUGUUAUCGAUGUCGAAUAUGUGA